AACGAACGCUGGCGGCAUGCCUAACACAUGCAAGUCGAACGAUGCCUUCGGGCAUAGUGGCGCACGGGUGCGUAACGCGUGGGAAUCUGCCUUUCGGUUCGGAAUAACUCAGGGAAACUUGAGCUAAUACCGGAUAACGUCGCAAGACCAAGGAUUUAUCACCGAAAGAUGAGCCCGCGUAGGAUUAGCUAGUUGGUGAGGUAAAGGCUCACCAAGGCGACGAUCCUUAGCUGGUCUGAGAGGAUGAUCAGCCACACUGGGACUGAGACACGGCCCAGACUCCUACGGGAGGCAGCAGUGGGGAAUAUUGGACAAUGGGCGAAAGCCUGAUCCAGCAAUGCCGCGUGAGUGAUGAAGGCCUUAGGGUUGUAAAGCUCUUUUACCCGGGAAGAUGAUGACGGUACCGGGAGAAUAAGCCCCGGCUAACUCCGUG
RNAcentral lists this ribosomal RNA (433 nucleotides) under uncultured bacterium. Its description in RNAcentral is "partial 16S ribosomal RNA". It matches the Rfam family "Bacterial small subunit ribosomal RNA", at positions 29 to 507 of the family's 1533-position model. The record is from RNAcentral.